RNAcentral lists this ribosomal RNA (302 nucleotides) under uncultured bacterium. Its description in RNAcentral is "partial 16S ribosomal RNA". It matches the Rfam family "Bacterial small subunit ribosomal RNA", at positions 508 to 807 of the family's 1533-position model. The record is from RNAcentral.
GCAGUAGCCACGGUAAUACAGAGGGUGCGAGCGUUAAUCGGAUUUACUGGGCGUAAAGCGUGCGUAGGCGGCUUCUUAAGUCGGAUGUGAAAUCCCUGAGCUUAACUUAGGAAUUGCAUUCGAUACUGGGAAGCUAGAGUAUGGGAGAGGAUGGUAGAAUUCCAGGUGUAGCGGUGAAAUGCGUAGAGAUCUGGAGGAAUACCGAUGGCGAAGGCAGCCAUCUGGCCUAAUACUGACGCUGAGGUACGAAAGCAUGGGGAGCAAACAGGAUUAGAGACCCCAGUAGUCCCUGUCUCUUAUAC